RNAcentral lists this ribosomal RNA (585 nucleotides) under uncultured bacterium. RNAcentral describes it as "partial 16S ribosomal RNA". It matches the Rfam family "Bacterial small subunit ribosomal RNA", at positions 355 to 1375 of the family's 1533-position model. The record is from RNAcentral.
UGGGGAAUUUUGGACAAUGGGCGAAAGCCUGAUCCAGCAAUGCCGCGUGUGUGAAGAAGGCCUUCGGGUUGUAAAGCACUUUUGUCCGGAAAGAAAUCCUUGGCUCUAAUACAGUCGGGGGAUGACGGUACCGGAAGAAUAAGCACCGGCUAACUACGUGCCAGCAGCCGCGGUAAUACGUAGGGUGCAAGCGUUAAUCGGAAUUACUGGGCGUAAAGCGUGCGCAGGCGGUUUGCUAAGACCGAUGUGAAAUCCCCGGGCUCAACCUGGGAACUGCAUUGGUGACUGGCAGGUUAGAGUAUGGCAGAGGGGGGUANAAUUCCACGUGUAGCAGUGAAAUGCGUAGAGAUGUGGAGGAAUACCGAUGGCGAAGGCAGCCCCCUGGGCCAAUACUGACGCUCAUGCACGAAAGCGUGGGGAGCAAACAGGAUUAGAUACCCUGGUAGUCCACGCCCUAAACGAUGUCAACUAGUUGUUGGGGAUUCAUUUCCUUAGUAACGUAGCUAACGCGUGAAGUUGACCGCCUGGGGAGUACGGUCGCAAGAUUAAAACUUAAAGGAAUUGACGGGGUCAUAGCUGUUUCCU